GGAUGGAGAAACGUUUCUUGAGUGAUGUUUAAAUUUGGUUUAUCCUUACCUAUAUGGAGGGCUUCUAGGAGACAGACGUCGGGGAUCCCCGACGUCUGCGCCUCCAUAUAGGUAAGGAGAAACUAAAUUUAAACUCAAGAAACGUUUGUCCUUCCUUAUAUUUGAGCCUGCAGUCACAUAUAAUAUCCUUUAAGAGGGAAUUUAUGUAAGUUUUCUCUUUUUUAAAUGGCAAACUAAAGUAGAGAACAGGAGACUAUAAGGUUUUUCGUCGUUUUAAUGUAGUACAUAGCAAAUUUCGUAUUAAGACUGAGAUCAUUUUUACUUUAUUUACUCUAUUAAUCCACCUUCCUUUAUAUUCUGUGCUCUGUGGCAUUAAUAAUUUAGUUUUUUAUUGUAUUUAAAAAAGCCUACCUUAUGAAUAGCAUUUGAAGGCUGACGGGAGACUAGUGUGCUCUCUCUCUCUCUCUCUCUCUCUCUCUCUCUCUCUCUCUUAUAAAUGUCAAAAUAUAUAAAACGUAAACAAAUCUUGAACUUCCCAAAUUUAGGAAACCUGAAAAACAAGAUAAGCAAAAAACUACUAUCAAAUUUCGAACUACAUUGAUUAUUGAAUAUCUUAUGGAAUGGUAAUUGUCAGCAAAUUUAUAAAUUUUGAGGGGUUUUAGAAAAUUCCUCUUUUUUAGAUAAAAAUAUACUAAUAUUGUAACUGUAUGCAGAUGUUAGCCUAUGAACGUUUUAUAGCUACCUGGUUUUCGAUCUUUCUUCCUAUUUAGAUGGGGAUAUUAAGCUCUAAUGAUUUUUUCUUUGAUAUAUUGCCAAUAAUAAUGAUAUGAACUAAAAACUUCCAAAAAUUCCAGCUGUAGAUGGCGCUGCUUGUAUACAGGGACCUUAAACCAAGGCAUCUCAAAGCCCAUAAUGUAUGUCAAAUUAGUUGUAAACGAAACUGGGUGUUUGGGAGACAUCUUACCACUAUUUCGUUUUCUGCUGUGGAAGAAGUGAAUUUGCUCCAGUGAUUUUGGUGGUUUGUGUUACGAGAAAGGGCGUAAUGACAGACUGAAAAUGUUAAUCUGGUCUUCAAAGCAUGGUUUAACUGCAGUAUUGGCAUUUUUUCAGGAUUGCUAUCUUGCGAUCACUUGUCUGUAAGCUUAUCCUGUGGCGGUUGUUUGAAGCUACACUUCAGUCCACAGAAAACUUGGUUAUUGCGAUUGACUACGUGGAGGAAGUUUUGCAGUGAAAGAAGCCGAAGUAAGAAGAUAAUGUUAAUA
Molecule: long non-coding RNA, 1262 nt
Organism: Macrobrachium nipponense
Lineage: Eukaryota; Metazoa; Arthropoda; Malacostraca; Decapoda; Palaemonidae
Exons: 3
Source: RefSeq, a predicted model, not a curated record